UACGAAGGGGGCUAGCGUUGCUCGGAAUCACUGGGCGUAAAGCGCACGUAGGCGGAUUGUUAAGUCAGGGGUGAAAUCCUGGAGCUCAACUCCAGAACUGCCUUUGAUACUGGCGAUCUUGAGUUCGGGAGAGGUGAGUGGAACUGCGAGUGUAGAGGUGAAAUUCGUAGAUAUUCGCAAGAACACCAGUGGCGAAGGCGGCUCACUGGCCUGAUACUGACGCUGAGGUGCGAAAGCGUGGGGAGCAAACAGGA
RNAcentral lists this ribosomal RNA (254 nucleotides) under uncultured bacterium. Its description in RNAcentral is "partial 16S ribosomal RNA". It matches the Rfam family "Bacterial small subunit ribosomal RNA", at positions 524 to 777 of the family's 1533-position model. The record is from RNAcentral.